AUCAGUAUGACUAGGUUGUGUGAGUUUCCAUACUAAAAGAGCUGUAGUGAUAAAAUAAUUGGCAUCAGAGACACUGAUUUUUGGCAUGGUAUACUGCAGAAGUUUUUUUUUUUUUGCAUAAUUUACCUUUUAAUUAAACUGCAUUCUCUGUAUUGUAACAAAACUAACAUUGUUUAUAUGUCAGAAAAUUAGCAAACAUGAAUAAAUGGCGAAAACAAUAUAAUUAUAACAUAUAUUUUUAUUUUACUUAUUUUAGGUCUGUGAAGCCAAACUUGAUGCUGGGGAUUUAUUUUUGUCAGUGGAGUCAAAUGAUUUCAAGACAGAGCUUAUUGUUCUCUGAACUUCCUUGUUUGCUGAACGGCAGGUUGAAGCAGAAUUUGCCCGUCUUACAUCUGUUGACCUGAAAGGGUUCCUUUUUGCUGUGCUUGACCAUUAUGGAGAGGUUCGUGGAGCUGUACAAAAUCAAGAGCGGCAUAGAAGGGCUAACUAGGCUCAUAAGAUGCUUCGGAGAUGAUAGCCCUACACAAAGGAAGAGGACAGAGGACCUCAUUUUCUAAAGGAAGAUCCUCA
Molecule: long non-coding RNA, 570 nt
Organism: Oreochromis aureus
Lineage: Eukaryota; Metazoa; Chordata; Actinopteri; Cichliformes; Cichlidae
Source: Ensembl